GUCAGUGAAUGCUAUUCUGGAGAACUUGAAGACAGUUUAUUCUCAGCUCCAACAGUCUGCUUUGCAUUAUCAAUUUGUUAAGAAACUCUCUCUCUCUUUUUUUUUCGUGUAGAACUGUGCAAAAAGCAACUUCCAUCCAGACUGUCUGAAUUAUCCAAAAAUUCUGAACUGAUGGCAUCCAAAUGAAUAAGACUUUACAGAGCUGCACUGGGAGAAUUGAUUGGAUUUGUCAGUUUUCCUGUGGAUACGAAGUCCUGGGUGGCUUGACUCCCAAAGAACUGACCACCCGUGAGCUGGAAAACAGACCUCAAAGCAGGAAAGAAACAGAAGUGUCCAAAGAAGAUGUGGAAAACACAACCCAGAAAAAGCUGACCCUCAAGAAAGAAGUCCGAUUCCAGACCGGUGUCAGUUUCCAGAACUGAAGAGCUAUAUGUGCUGA
Molecule: long non-coding RNA, 439 nt
Organism: Bos indicus x Bos taurus (hybrid cattle)
Lineage: Eukaryota; Metazoa; Chordata; Mammalia; Artiodactyla; Bovidae
Source: Ensembl